UGCCAGCCGCCGCGGUAAUACGGAGGGUGCAAGCGUUGUUCGGAAUCACUGGGCGUAAAGCGCGUGUAGGCGGCUUGGCAAGUCGAGUGUGAAAUCCCGGGGCCCAACCCCGGAACUGCACUCGAAACUGCCUCGCUAGAGUCUCGGAGAGGAAGGCAGAAUUCCUGGUGUAGGGGUGAAAUCCGUAGAUAUCAGGAGGAAUACCAGUGGCGAAGGCGGCCUUCUGGACGAUGACUGACGCUGAGACGCGAAAGCGUGGGGAGCAAACAGGAUUAGAUA
Molecule: ribosomal RNA, 279 nt
Filed under: uncultured bacterium
Lineage: Bacteria
Description: partial 16S ribosomal RNA
Rfam family: Bacterial small subunit ribosomal RNA
Source: RNAcentral